UUGAUCCCGCCGGAGGUCACUGCUAUUGGAGUUCGGCUAANCCAUGCGAGUCGAGAGGGUUUAGACCCUCGGCGAACGGCUCAAUAACACGUGGAUAAUCUACCCUCAGGACAGGGAUAACCCCGGGAAACUGGGGAUAAUACCUGACAGGUGGGGAUGUCUGGAACGAUUCCCCGCUUAAAGCUCCGGCGCCUGAGGAUGAGUCUGCGGUCGAUUAGGUUGUUGGCGGNGUAACGGACCACCAAGCCAAAGAUCGAUACGGGCACUGAGAGGUGAAGCCCGGAGAUGGGGGCUGAGAUACGGCCCCAGGCCCUACGGGGCGCAGCAGGCGCGAAAACUCCGCAACUCGCGAAAGCGUGACGGGGGAACUCCAAGUGCUGCAGCAUUAGUUGUAGCUUUUGUUUAGUGUAAAUAACUAUUCGAAUAAGAGCUGGGUAAGACCGGUGCCAGCCGCCGCGGUAACACCGGNNGCUCGAGUGGUGACCGUUAUUAUUGGGCCNAAAGCGUCCGUAGCCGGUUUGGNAAGUCCUUGGGUAAAUCCUGACGCUCAGCGUUAGGAAUUCUAGGGAUACUGCCAGACUUGAGGCCGA
This 590-nucleotide ribosomal RNA is filed under the name uncultured archaeon. Its description in RNAcentral is "bacterial SSU rRNA". It matches the Rfam family "Archaeal small subunit ribosomal RNA", at positions 8 to 602 of the family's 1478-position model. The record is from RNAcentral.